GACGAACGCUGGCGGCGUGCCUAAUACAUGCAAGUCGGGCGAAGUUUUUCUGGUGCUUGCACUAGAAAAACUUAGCGGCGAACGGGUGAGUAACACGUAAAGAACCUGCCUCAUAGACUGGGACAACUAUUGGAAACGAUAGCUAAUACCGGAUAACAGUAUUUCUCGCAUGAGAGAUAUUUAAAAGUUGGUUAUGCUAACACUAUGAGAUGGCUUUGCGGUGCAUUAGCUAGUUGGUGGGGUAAAGGCCCACCAAGGCGACGAUGCAUAGCCGACCUGAGAGGGUGAUCGGCCACACUGGGACUGAGACACGGCCCAG
Molecule: ribosomal RNA, 319 nt
Filed under: uncultured bacterium
Lineage: Bacteria
Description: bacterial SSU rRNA
Rfam family: Bacterial small subunit ribosomal RNA
Source: RNAcentral